RNAcentral lists this ribosomal RNA (253 nucleotides) under uncultured bacterium. Its description in RNAcentral is "partial 16S ribosomal RNA". It matches the Rfam family "Bacterial small subunit ribosomal RNA", at positions 524 to 776 of the family's 1533-position model. The record is from RNAcentral.
UACGUAGGGGGCAAGCGUUGUCCGGAUUUAUUGGGCGUAAAGGGCGUGUAGGCGGCCAGACAGGUCAGCUGUGAAAACUCGAGGCUCAACCUCGAGACGUCGGUUGAAACCGUCUGGCUAGAGUCCGGAAGAGGAGAGUGGAAUUCCCGGUGUAGCGGUGAAAUGCGCAGAUAUCGGGAAGAACACCCGUGGCGAAGGCGGCUCUCUGGGACGGUACUGACGCUGAGACGCGAAAGCGUGGGGAGCGAACAGG